CCUAUCGUCCACCCAAACCGAUAUUGUGUGAAUGCACAUUAUCAAACAUCGGACGACACGUUGAGUGAGG
Molecule: unclassified non-coding RNA, 70 nt
Filed under: Yersinia enterocolitica (type O:2) str. YE3094/96
Lineage: Bacteria; Pseudomonadati; Pseudomonadota; Gammaproteobacteria; Enterobacterales; Yersiniaceae
Rfam family: Glm Y RNA activator of glmS mRNA
About the family: This family consists of a number of bacterial RNA genes of around 167 bases in length. The function of this RNA is unknown.
Source: RNAcentral